Non-coding RNA from Schistosoma margrebowiei, 46 nucleotides. NCBI's taxonomy places the organism in Eukaryota, Metazoa, Platyhelminthes, Trematoda, Strigeidida, Schistosomatidae. The record is from Rfam.
GCACUACUGAUGAGCCCCACAACAGGGCGAAACGGCCAUCUAGUGC